UGGAAAGGUUUUAUCUUGAACACAUGUCGUUGCUGAACGAGAGACUAUUGAGAAGAAUGUUUAGUUCGAUGUUGAACAAUGUCUAAUCAGAUCACAACUCUAACAUGAACCACUGUUUAUUCGAUUUAACUUAGAGCUUAUAUCAGGAACACUAUGGCUUUUGCAAUACCACGUUGUAAAAGUCCAGUCGGUUGGAGCACCACAAAUAACGAUUACGGACAAUGUUACAUAGCAGGUAGACGAGGAAAUGGUCUCUACAAGAAAUUCCACUCCAAAAAAGACACAAGUCGACCUUCGACUGCGCAUGCGCGGUUUACUUCAACAAAGGUUGGACCUGCGAGAUUUCAGUCAGCAAAGAGUGCGAGACCAAGAAACCCUACUCCACACGCAAGUCAAGAUUCUAUGCUUACCAAAUUUAGAUCUAUGACAGAACCCGGUACUGACCCGAGUAUCUAUUUCAACGGGCCCCCCUAUCUCGAGAAUUAUAGAGCGCCAGAAAUGAAAACAGCCAGGGAAUAUUUACAAGAUGCAGAUGGAUAUUCUGGAUUCUCAACCCGGAGGAAGUAUAAAUCUCCAGAUUGCAUAUCGUAUCAAAACACUGGAACAGUCGGACGCAAGCACGUUUACCCACCAACUCCACCUACCACCAGAUCAAAGAAAACUCAGGUUGAAUUAAACACCGACAACACUAGACGAUUCGGAGGAAUAACUCCGAAGCCUCCAAACAGAUCUAAAAGGUCCGUGGGGACAAAUACGAUACGAAAUAAGUUCAAGGGUGCGCGGACAAACAGACUAAUGCCUAGACCCCCUGGGCAAUAUAAAAACGUUUACGAUGAAGGAUAUCGAGAUUACACAUAUAGUUACGGCGGUCCUGUCAACAAUGCGGCCGGGUCGAGUAGCUACCUAGGAAAUGUAUUGGCGUCCAAGCUGCGGGCUCGUGAUAGCGAUGGCUACCCCAAGGAUAACUUCGAACAUUAUAUUGGCGUAAAGAAUGCUUAUGAGAACAACACCAGUGACCCGUAUGCAAGCGCAUAUCGAUCGGGGGAUGACUAUAACACUAUGAGAUAUGAAGCAGACUUGCAUCCUAGAACGUCACGUGAUGCACUAGCUGGAACGUAUGGAGCUACUUCACCGGUUUAUGAACCGAGAAUAACUUACGACAGUAAUGACUAUUCGUAUGACACACAUCUCACAUCACGUGAUGCAUUAGCGGGAUCUUACGGGGCUGAACCUUCUCAUCACUACUCAACACGCAUGCGUGGGGACAGUUUUGAUUAUCCAACUAGAUCCCGUAACGGUUUUCUAAAACCGUCUGAACCAUCAGCAGAUAUUAAACGGUUUCAAAGUGCCUUUUCUCCAAAAUUUAAAGCAAAAUAUGGCACAAAAUCUGUAAAUUUUGACAAUAUACGUCGAUCACCAAGACUUCAUACAUAUCCAGCCGGUUAUUCGGGUGAAUAUGAUCGCCCUCUUUCAGCAAGUUAUGUGUACUAGUUGACUGGACUAGAGUUUGCAUUUGUAAACUACGUAGUUUUAAUCUAUUUUAUAGUCUUUCUUUCGUAAUUGUAAUUAAUUGUAAUUGGCAUGAUCACAGAUUACUCGUUUUGGCUCAUUAGUUAUAAUCAUGUUUAUAUUGGAGGGUUUUUCGGGGAUCGUUACUUAUUUGAAAACUAAACGUUCUAAUCGAAUCAUUACUAGUGUAUACAUGGAAAUGACUAAAACAUGAUGCCUAUUUACAAUAUGUACUCAGUCGAUUUAAAGAGGUCGCUACAUGUUCACCGAUAUGGCUAUGUGCAAAUAUACGUUUGCGCCAUCUUUAAAUCGAAUUUGCGAAGAAUGAAUUUAUACUUUUGUUUUAAGUCGCAAAUUAAAUAAAGUUUAACACGAUUUAAUAACGUAUGGGUAAAUCAUCCACAAUGCAUUGAUACUUCUCUUAGAAUGUUCUUAUUAUGUACUAUUCCAUAAUAACAUAUUUUCCUUGGGAAAUAAACUGGGAGUAAAAAUGAUAUUUAAAAAUCCCGUAUCAGAUCCCGUAUCAGCCAAAAUACCGUAUCAGAUCCCCUAGUGGAUCCCAUAUCAGCCGAAAUCUUGUAUCAGAUCCCGUAUC
RNAcentral lists this unclassified non-coding RNA (2104 nucleotides) under Owenia fusiformis. RNAcentral describes it as "misc RNA OFUS_LOCUS7492". Lineage: Eukaryota; Metazoa; Annelida; Polychaeta; Sabellida; Oweniidae. The record is from RNAcentral.